This 336-nucleotide transfer-messenger RNA is filed under the name Clostridiales bacterium. RNAcentral's name for it is "partial transfer-messenger RNA". It matches the Rfam family "transfer-messenger RNA". Rfam says of the family: Bacterial tmRNA, also known as 10Sa RNA or SsrA, is named for its dual tRNA and mRNA-like properties. Its role is to liberate the mRNA from a stalled ribosome. To accomplish this part of the tmRNA is used as a reading frame that ends in a translation stop signal. The record is from RNAcentral. Lineage: Bacteria; Bacillati; Bacillota; Clostridia; Eubacteriales.
GGGGAUGCAACGGUUUCGACGGGGAUGUUGAAACAUCGGAAGCGAGUAGUGAUGGGCAUCACUUAAAAAUACCCAAAUUUUUAAAUAUAAACGCUAACAAAAAUUUAGCUUACGCUGCCUAAUUUUCGCAGCCGUCUUGCCUUUGAGUACCACGGCAAAGGAUAAGGCGUCUACCAGUGGUGCACAUGAACCGCCUUUUGUUUUGUGGGCGGUCACGACUUAAAAACUACCGUAGCAUAUGGCUUGACUGUGGGCAGUAUGUGAGGGGAAUCUUAAUCACAGCCUACACUCGUAGAGGCUGAUGCGGAUAUGUUUUCGGACACGGGUUCAACUCCC